This 253-nucleotide ribosomal RNA is filed under the name uncultured bacterium. RNAcentral's name for it is "partial 16S ribosomal RNA". It matches the Rfam family "Bacterial small subunit ribosomal RNA", at positions 524 to 776 of the family's 1533-position model. The record is from RNAcentral.
UACGUAGGGUGCAAGCGUUAAUCGGAAUUACUGGGCGUAAAGAGUGCGUAGGCGGCUAUGUAAGACAGAUGUGAAAUCCCUGGGCUUAACCUAGGAACUGCAUUUGUGACUGCAUGGCUAGAGUGUGGUAGAGGGAGAUGGAAUUCCGCAUGUAGCAGUGAAAUGCGUAGAUAUCAGGAGGAAUACCGAUGGCGAAGGCAGGUCUCUGGGCUGACACUGACGCUCAUGCACGAAAGCGUGGGGAGCAAACAGG